UACGUAGGGGGCAAGCGUUGUCCGGAAUCAUUGGGCGUAAAGAGCGUGUAGGCGGCUCGAUAAGUCCGCUGUGAAAGUCCAGGGCUCAACCCUGGAAGGCCGGUGGAAACUGUCGGGCUAGAGUCCGGAAGAGGCGAGUGGAAUUCCCGGUGUAGCGGUGAAAUGCGCAGAUAUCAGGAGGAACACCCGUGGCGAAAGCGGCUCUCUGGGACGGUACUGACGCUGAGACGCGAAAGCGUGGGGAGCAAACAGG
This 253-nucleotide ribosomal RNA is filed under the name uncultured bacterium. RNAcentral's name for it is "partial 16S ribosomal RNA". It matches the Rfam family "Bacterial small subunit ribosomal RNA", at positions 524 to 776 of the family's 1533-position model. The record is from RNAcentral.